Molecule: long non-coding RNA, 387 nt
Organism: Mastomys coucha (southern multimammate mouse)
Lineage: Eukaryota; Metazoa; Chordata; Mammalia; Rodentia; Muridae
Exons: 3
Source: RefSeq, a predicted model, not a curated record
AUUGGCUGUGCUUUCAAACAGAGGAGGCACCAAGGGAAAUGGCUGCUCACUGUUUUUAGAGCAGAGUUGCUGCAGAUCUUGUGGAAGUUGUGAGCCAUCAUCUAGGGCCUGAUGUGCUGUCAUGAGAGUUGUCAUCUGUAACUGCGGACACCCCAAGCUGGGAAGAAUGUGACAGAAAUGGACGCAGAAUCUCAUCUUUCACACUCUCCAGAGACCAUCAAAGGAAGUGAAGUCAGGUGAUGGACAUGGACAGCUGAGAAAAACAUUAAGAAACAUGAGAGCACGUGGGCAUGAGCCACCAGACAUCAAAGCUGAAAGUUAACAGAAAAGAUGCGAUGUGGAAGUCUGGAAGUGAGUGUCAAACCAACCAACGGAACAAAGCAGAGC